Molecule: small RNA, 25 nt
Filed under: Mus musculus (house mouse)
Lineage: Eukaryota; Metazoa; Chordata; Mammalia; Rodentia; Muridae
Description: oocyte_piRNA1894
Source: RNAcentral
UAUAGCCGCCGUGCUGGCAGCAGGA